UGGUCAUUUAGAGGAAGUAAAAGUCGUAACAAGG
Molecule: ribosomal RNA, 34 nt
Filed under: Beauveria bassiana
Lineage: Eukaryota; Fungi; Ascomycota; Sordariomycetes; Hypocreales; Cordycipitaceae
Description: partial 18S ribosomal RNA
Source: RNAcentral